This 600-nucleotide ribosomal RNA is filed under the name uncultured Actinomycetes bacterium. RNAcentral describes it as "bacterial SSU rRNA". It matches the Rfam family "Bacterial small subunit ribosomal RNA", at positions 252 to 866 of the family's 1533-position model. Lineage: Bacteria; Bacillati; Actinomycetota; Actinomycetes. The record is from RNAcentral.
GUGAGGUAACGGCUCACCAAGGCUUCGACGGGUAGCUAGUCUGAGAGGACGAAUAGCCACACUGGAACUGAGACACGGUCCAGACUCCUACGGGAGGCAGCAGUGGGGAAUCUUGCACAAUGGGCGAAAGCCUGAUGCAGCGACGCCGCGUGGGGGAUGAAGGCCCUAGGGACGUAAACCCCUUUCAGGAGGGACGAAAAUGACGGUACCUCCAGAAGAAGCCCCGGCCAACUACGUGCCAGCAGCCGCGGUAAGACGUAGGGGGCGAGCGUUGUCCGGAUUUAUUGGGCGUAAAGAGCUCGUAGGCGGUUCAGUCAGUCGGGUGUGAAAACUUGAGGCUUAACCUCAAGAGGUCACUCGAUACUACUGUGACUAGAGUGCGGUAGGGGAGCGGGGAAUUCCUGGUGUAGCGGUGAAAUGCGCAGAUAUCAGGAGGAACACCAGUGGCGAAGGCGCCGCUCUGGGCCGUAACUGACGCUGAGGAGCGAAAGCAUGGGUAGCAAACAGGAUUAGAUACCCUGGUAGUCCAUGCCGUAAACGUUGGGCACUAGGUGUGGGUCUCAACCAACGAGAUCCGCGCCGUCGCUAACGCAUUAAGUG